Molecule: ribosomal RNA, 497 nt
Filed under: uncultured bacterium
Lineage: Bacteria
Description: partial 16S ribosomal RNA
Rfam family: Bacterial small subunit ribosomal RNA
Source: RNAcentral
GAUGAACGCUGGCGGCGUGCCUAAUACAUGCAAGUCGAGCGAACGGACGAGAAUCUUGCUUCUCUGAUGUUAGCGGCGGACGGGUGAGUAACACGUGGAUAACCUACCUAUAAGACUGGGAUAACUUCGGGAAACCGUAGCUAAUACCGGAUAAUAUUUUGAACCGCAUGGUUCAAAAGUGAACGACGGUCUUGCUGUCACUAAUAGAUGGAUCCGAGCUGCAUUAGCUAGUUGGUAAGGUAACGGCUUACCAAGGCAACGAUGCAUAGCCGACCUGAGAGGGUGAUCGGCCACAUUGGAACUGAGACACGGUCCAGACUCCUACGGGAGGCAGCAGUAGGGAAUCUUCCGCAAUGGGCGAAAGCCUGACGGAGCAACGCCGCGUGAGUGAUGAAGGUCUUCGGAUCGUAAAACUCUGUUAUUAGGGAAGAACAUAUGUGUAAGUAACUGUGCACAUCUUGACGGUACCUAAUCAGAAAGCCACGGCUAACUACGUG